CCUACGGGAGGCAGCAGUAAGGAAUAUUGGACAAUGCUCGCAAGAGUGAUCCAGCCAUGCCGCGUGCAGGAAGAAUGCCCUAUGGGUAGUAAACUGCUUUUGAACUAGAGAAAAUCCCAGUACGUGUACUGGGCUGAUAGUAUAGUUAGAAUAAGCAUCGGCUAACUUCGUGCCAGCAGCCGCGGUAAGACGAAGGAUGCAAGCGUUAUCCGGAUUCAUUGGGUUUAAAGGGAGCGUAGGUGGACUGAUAAGUCAGUGGUGAAAUCUCCGAGCUUAACUCGGAAAUUGCCAUUGAUACUGUUGGUCUUGAGUACAGUUGCUGUGGGCGGAAUAUGACAUGUAGUGGUGAAAUACAUAGAGAUGUCAUAGAACACCGAUUGCGAAGGCAGCUCACAAAGCUGUAACUGACACUGAGGCUCGAAAGUGCGGGGAUCAAACAGGAUUAGAUACCCUGGUAGUCCGCACCGUAAACGAUGAUUACUCGCUGCUAGGGGGCAACCUUUAGUGGCUUAGCGAAAGCGAUAAGAAUCCACCUGGGGAGGUACGCCGGCGACGGAGAACGUACAAUAGAGUUAGAGGCGNGGAGAGNGCGACGGACGACGACGAGGGGAGGUUAGG
This 618-nucleotide ribosomal RNA is filed under the name uncultured bacterium. Its description in RNAcentral is "bacterial SSU rRNA". It matches the Rfam family "Bacterial small subunit ribosomal RNA", at positions 338 to 961 of the family's 1533-position model. The record is from RNAcentral.